This 497-nucleotide ribosomal RNA is filed under the name uncultured bacterium. RNAcentral's name for it is "partial 16S ribosomal RNA". It matches the Rfam family "Bacterial small subunit ribosomal RNA", at positions 28 to 507 of the family's 1533-position model. The record is from RNAcentral.
GAUGAACGCUGGCGGCGUACCUAAUACAUGCAAGUCGAGCGAACAGACGAGGAGCUUGCUCCUCUGACGUUAGCGGCGGACGGGUGAGUAACACGUGGAUAACCUCCCUAUAAGACUGGGAUAACUUCGGGAAACCGGAGCUAAUACCGGAUAAUAUAUUGAACCGCAUGGUUCAAUAGUGAAAGACGGUUUUGCUGUCACUUAUAGAUGGAUCCGCGCCGCAUUAGCUAGUUGGUAAGGUAACGGGUUACCAAGGCGACGAUGCGUAGCCGACCUGAGAGGGUGAUCGGCCACACUGGAACUGAGACACGGUCCAGACUCCUACGGGAGGCAGCAGUAGGGAAUCUUCCGCAAUGGGCGAAAGCCUGACGGAGCAACGCCGCGUGAGUGAUGAAGGUCUUCGGAUCGUAAAACUCUGUUAUUAGGGAAGAACAAAUGUGUAAGUAACUAUGCACGUCUUGACGGUACCUAAUCAGAAAGCCACGGCUAACUACGUG